CAUUCCUCAUAGGAGAGGUGCUCCAGUCCCUUCAUCAUCUUUGUGGCUCUUUGUUGGUCUCUGUCCAGUAGGUCCAUGUCUCUCUUGUACUGGGCAACCCAGAACUGGACACAGCACUCCCAUUGUGGCCUCAUCAGUGCUGAGCAGAGGACCUCCCCUGGGACCAGCUGACCAGUCAGUUUUCAGUACACCUCAUUGUCUGUUCAUCUAGCCCAUAAAUCAGCAGCUUAUCUAUGGGAAUUUUAUGGGAGACAGUGUCAAAGGCUUUACUGAAGUCCAGGUAGACAAUAACCACAGCACACCCUUCAUUUACCAGGCUAGUCACUUGUAGGUAAAAUGACUGUAGAAACUAUAUUAAGAAAACCCAUGCUUAAUGUUGGUUGAUUUCAAAGGAAGAAAAUGUGUGAAAGCAUUUGCUAAAUAAGGAUGAGUUUAAUUCAUAAAAUCUUCUACCAAAUGGUCCUGAAAACAAAUGGAAGAGCUCAGAGGUAUAGCAGGAAUUCAGAUCCUGCCUGGACUGGAUGAUUCUUUUUGCUGCAGAACUAAUGAAACCAUGACUGCGCAAGACACAAGAAAAAGAGAUAUUACAAAGAAAUAGGGUUUCAACACAAUUGUUUAAAAGGAACAAGGAAUCGAUUCCUCACUGAUUAAAAAAAUAAAUAAGGCCACUAACUAAAUUCCA
This 682-nucleotide long non-coding RNA is filed under the name Anser brachyrhynchus (Pink-footed goose). Its description in RNAcentral is "lncRNA (ENSABRG00000006257.1)". Lineage: Eukaryota; Metazoa; Chordata; Aves; Anseriformes; Anatidae. The record is from RNAcentral.